This 259-nucleotide unclassified non-coding RNA is filed under the name Hevea brasiliensis (rubber tree). The record is from RNAcentral. Lineage: Eukaryota; Viridiplantae; Streptophyta; Magnoliopsida; Malpighiales; Euphorbiaceae.
UGCAGAUCAAUUAUUGCACACAAAUGAAUCACAUGUUCAUAGCAUUCACAAUUCAAAUACUGCAUCUUCCAGAGUUAUACAACGGUAGAACAUAGUUUUAGGCUAAACAAAAUCUUCUGUUUGUUCUUCAACAUAAAUUUCAAGAACUUACCAAAUGCUAAACUAACUUUCAGAUUCUUAGGAAGGUCCACAUAUGUAGGGUCUGUAAACUCGAAAAAAAUUCUAGCAACAAAGAAAAUGCUACUUCAGCAAUUCACAA